RNAcentral lists this non-coding RNA (24 nucleotides) under Arabidopsis thaliana (thale cress). Lineage: Eukaryota; Viridiplantae; Streptophyta; Magnoliopsida; Brassicales; Brassicaceae. The record is from RNAcentral.
CUAUUCCUUCCAAGCUCGUGCUUA